AGAGCGAACGCUGGCGGCAGGCUUAACACAUGCAAGUCGAGCGCCCCGCAAGGGGAGCGGCAGACGGGAGAGUAACACGUGGGAACGUACCUUUCGGUUCGGAACAACCCAGGGAAACUUGGGCUAAUACCGGAUACGCCCGCAAGGGGAAAGAUUUAUCGCCGGAAGAUCGGCCCGCGUCUGAUUAGCUAGUUGGUGAGGUAAUGGCCCACAAGGCGACGAUCAGUAGCUGGUCUGAGAGGAUGAUCAGCCACAUUGGGACUGAGACACGGCCCAAACUCCUACGGGAGGCAGCAGUGGGGAAUAUUGGACAAUGGGCGCAAGCCUGAUCCAGCCAUGCCGCGUGAGUGAUGAAGGCCCUAGGGUUGUAAAGCUCUUUGUGCGGGAAGAUAAUGACGGUACCGCAAGAAUAAGCCCGGCUAACUCGUGCCAGCAGCCGC
Molecule: ribosomal RNA, 440 nt
Filed under: uncultured bacterium
Lineage: Bacteria
Description: SSU rRNA
Rfam family: Bacterial small subunit ribosomal RNA
Source: RNAcentral